CAGCCGCCGCGGGAAUACCAGCAGCCUAAGUGGUGGUCGCGAUUAUUGGGCCUAAAGCGCUCGUAGCCGGGCCGGUAAGUCCCUUGUGAAAUCGGACGGCCUAACCGUUCGGCGUGCAAGGGAUACUGUCGGUCUUGAGGCCGGGAGACGUCCGAGGUACUCCGGGGGUAGCGGUGAAAUGUUCUGAUCCUCGGGGGACCACCGGUGGCGAAGGCGUUCGACGAGAACGGGCCUGACGGUGAGGGGCGAAGGCUAGGGGAGCAAACGGGAUUAGAUACCCGCGUAGUCCCUGUCUCUUAUA
Molecule: ribosomal RNA, 301 nt
Filed under: uncultured bacterium
Lineage: Bacteria
Description: partial 16S ribosomal RNA
Rfam family: Archaeal small subunit ribosomal RNA
Source: RNAcentral